AUUGGCACGAUGAGGAAUUUAUUGCAUAAACAUUGAGAUCAGUUGAUCUUUGAAAUUCUAAAAUUAUACAUUAAAGUCCUUUUCAUUCUGAGUGCCCU
This 98-nucleotide small nucleolar RNA is filed under the name Corchorus capsularis. RNAcentral's name for it is "Small nucleolar RNA Z162". It matches the Rfam family "Small nucleolar RNA Z162". From Rfam's summary of the family: Z162 is a member of the C/D class of snoRNA which contain the C (UGAUGA) and D (CUGA) box motifs. Most of the members of the box C/D family function in directing site-specific 2'-O-methylation of substrate RNAs. Lineage: Eukaryota; Viridiplantae; Streptophyta; Magnoliopsida; Malvales; Malvaceae. The record is from Rfam by way of RNAcentral.